UUAAAGGCUUUUCUAUAAAAGCCAUAAAAUACAUAAUAUAUAGUUAAUU
This is a non-coding RNA of Mus musculus (house mouse), 49 nucleotides long. The record is from Rfam. Lineage: Eukaryota; Metazoa; Chordata; Mammalia; Rodentia; Muridae.